RNAcentral lists this small RNA (65 nucleotides) under uncultured Sporosarcina sp. Its description in RNAcentral is "Bacillaceae-1 RNA". It matches the Rfam family "Bacillaceae-1 RNA". The record is from RNAcentral. Lineage: Bacteria; Bacillati; Bacillota; Bacilli; Caryophanales; Caryophanaceae.
UUAAGGAACACAGCCUAGGUGCGCCGCGUCCUGCGGCAACGUCUGUGUGACCCCACAUCCUGUGG